RNAcentral lists this long non-coding RNA (802 nucleotides) under Homo sapiens (human). Its description in RNAcentral is "HSALNT0290782". The record is from RNAcentral. Lineage: Eukaryota; Metazoa; Chordata; Mammalia; Primates; Hominidae.
CUGUUUCACUGGGAAACAGAAGCAAUCAGAAGGAAACUUCCUCAGACUCCACCUCUCCCUUCACUCCCGCCUGUAUCCGUGCCUGUUACCUGGACGCCUUGUGGAACUUGAAUUCUACGCCCUCCACUGGGACACUGCCCUUCAUCCUCUCUCACCUCCUCCAGGACAACAAAUGUUGUAGUCCUCAUCAUCAGCAGAGACUUUGUGCCAUCCUCUGCUAUAUUAUCCUGAAGAGUGCCUGGCUCAUGAUGAGGAAGCUGAGGCUCAGAGAGGUGCUGCCACUGGGAUGCGGACUCCAGGAAGCCUGACCCCGUCCUGCCUUUUAAUCACGGCAUCAUACUGCUCUUGUGGUUUGGGAUGAUUAGAACCUGAGAGAGUUGGAGAGGGGAAGGAGCGGGUUGAGUCUGAGCCUAAGAAAUGGGCUGGGACCAAAUCCCGGGGGGCUGCUGGUGUUAGACUUGGGGGUGUUGACAUCAUUGCAGAUGAGUGGGUAGCACAUUCUUAGGGAGAGGGUGGUGGGAUCACGUGUGCUUUUCUGAGAAGUCACUCUGGGAUGGGGCAGAGAAGAAGUAAAAAAAAAAAAAAAAAACAGAAAAAAAAACAGAGGAGAGACAGUGAGGCAGGGCAUGGGUGAGUACAAGGCCAGGGCAGCAGGGCUCUGGGAAGGGUGAACACCAGGCAGACAGUUCCAAGGUAGAUCUAACAGGUGACUAGGUGGUGGGAGGUGAGGGGUGAACAAUCAAAUGUGGGUAAAGGGUCACGUUGGUUUUAUUCAUUCACUCAGCAAACUUUUUUUUUUUUU